UAUACACUUAAACUGAUGUGUAGGCGAAGUGAAAAGUUGAUAGGAUAAAUCAUGGAUUUAAUGUAGAAUAUUGGCGUACCAAACUAAUAAUAAAACUCUCUUUAUUACACACAAAAAAAUAACUCUCAUUCACAUACACCCAUAAGACUACAAACCUCACACACUCACUUCACUACUUCACUACACCUCACAACACUUCCUCACCUCACACCACCACUCACACCCUUCACUAUAUCUCACUCUUCACUCUCACACUCUUGCACUCUCUCACUCUUGCACUCUCUCCAAGCACACAUGGUGUGGGAGCCUCACAACUAUUUAUAGGCUCCCUCCCAACCUACCUACAUAAGCACUCUAGAAUAUUCUAGAGUACUUACUUCUAGAACUCACUAAAGUGCUCUAUUAGCAAGUAGAGAGCACUUUGUUCCUAGAGCUUUCUAGAAUGCUCCAUUAGCUAGUAGAGAAUUGAAAAGGGAUAGGGCAUUCUAGAAUGUUCUAUUAAAGAGAGAGAGAGAGUUGCCUCUUUCAAUACUCCCCCUCAACUCUAACUCUCUCUUAAUGCUACUGUGCUGAGCAUUCCUAAUCGCUUUCGAAACUCUUCAAAUUUUGUGGUGCUUAGUCCUUUGGUGAAUAUGUCGACUACUUGCUCUUAUGUUUUGAUUCUGUUUCAGUGCUUGGAUCCUUUCGUCCAUUGUGUUCCUCCACUUCUUGCUUGUGACUGCUUCUUCGUAGAAGGCCAGCUCUUUUGGAGUCUCUUCUUUUUCGGUGAUAGCAACAUUUGCACACUUAGUAUUGGGCUUUCUUUGCCUAAAAGACCUUCGUAACUGUGUACCUAUAUCUUCAAGUUGGCUUGGUCGAUCUUCUUCUGGGGUUUGACAAUGUACGCCAGUUCGCCAGGGUUCUGGAGACUUCUGGAGUUGCUGCUCAUCACCGGUUGGCUCCAUUGAAGGUUGACCGCUUUCUUCUUGCUCUGACACGGCCUUUUCUUCUUCUUGUUCUUGUUCUCCAAGCUUUCCUUGUAGUUUGAUUUUUAUCUCUUUAGAAUCUGGUAGUAUCACUUCUUGUGAGGACCACCAAGACGACGCUUCAUCGAACACGACAUUUCUCGACGUGUAACAACGACCGGUUGUUAGGUCACAGCAUUUCCACCCUUUUCUUUCACUAUCGUACCCGACGAAGAUACAUCGUAUCGCCUUCUUGUCGAAUUUACUUCGAAGAUGGUCCGGCACGAACACAUAGCACACAUAUCCAAAGACUCGAAAAUGACUUACUGUGGGUUUGAUUUUCCACAGUACUUGAUAGGGUGAGAUGAAUCCUAACUUCUGUUGCGGCAGCCGGUUGAUGACAUGUGCUGCUGUUCUCAUACAUUCUGCCCAAAAUCUGCCUGGCACAUUCUUUGCAUGCAGCAUGCUUCGGCUAGUUUCUGCUAGAUGUCUAUUCUUUCUCUCAGCUAUACCAUUUUGUUGCGGAGUGCGAGGACAUGUAAGCUGUCUUCUUAUUUUGCACUCUCGCAAAUAAGCUGAGAACUCUGUUGAGGUAUAUUCACCUCCAUUAUCCAUGCGCAGGCAUCGUAUUUUAUGGCCGGUUUGGCUUUCAACUUUUUCUUUAAAUUCUUUAAAUUUUUGUAGCACUUCAGAUUUUUCUUUAAUAAAGUAUACCCAGACGUACCUUGAGAAGUCAACAAUGAACGUCACCAUGUAGCGCAUGCCGCUAAUUGAUGAUUGCUUGACUGGUCCAAAAACAUCAGAGUGCACGAGCUCGAGCGGUACCUUGGCUCUAUAUUUAGAUUCAGUGUAGGGAAGUUGAUGAGCCUUACCAAACUGGCAUCCUGCGCAGAUUGUGUCUCCUCGUAUUUCAAGUUGAGGUAAGCCCUUAAGCAUACUGCGCUCCAUCAUGAUUUUCAGUUUGUGAUAGCCCACAUGUCCCAGUCUUGUAUGCCACAAAUCAGCAGUCUCACUUUUUCGAGUCUUUUCUACGUAUGCUGAUUCUGCAGACAUUACGUAUAUAGACUCUACUUUCUUUCCUUCCAUGAUUUGUAUACGAGAUAUCUUGGAACUGCGAAAUACCUUGACAUCUUGUGGCCCAAAUACUACACAAUUGCCCGAUGCAGUCAGUUGUGAUACUGAUAAGAGAUUUUUCUUCAUACCUGGGACAUGGUAGACUUUCUGUAGUUGUACUUGAUGUGGGCUGAAUUUGGGUGUGAUGAUUGUCUUUCCUAUGUGAGUGAUUGGCAGCUUCGAUUUGUUAGCUGUCACCACUACUCUUCCUCCUUUAUAUUCUGUUGUGCUGAGCAGCUUGUCUUUAUCACCGGUCAUAUGAUUGGAACAUCCAGAGUCGAUGAUCCAAUCUGUACUGUAAUUCACCUCUCUUGGAUUUUCUAUUGUUAUGAGUGCAUAUAUUGGUACCUGCUUUAGUAGCUUUUCCUUCUUAGCACCUGGCGUCAUUUCCUCCGUAGCAGUGUUUUCUGACCUUCGUUCUUCGAGAGCCUCUUCUUUGUUUAAGUGACAGUCUUCUUCUGACUCCAUGAUGGCGAAGGAGGCUUGAGCAUCCCACUCUUCUUCACUAUUGUAUGCUGCUUGGUGGUCACCUGAUGUUGCCAUAUUGCCUUGUGCUUGUUUCUUCAUGUGCCAACAGUCUCGGGCGAAGUGUCCUUUCUUGCCGCAAUUGUAACACUCUCUGCUUUGUCGUCUGUCGUAUUUAAACUGCCAGGUAUUUUGCUCCUUCUGGUUGUGGACUCCCCCUAUAAGGUGGCUCUCUCCCAACCUUUGUUUUAACCCACUGAACUCCUUCGGCAGCUUCAAAUUUCUUGGCCCUCCUGUUGCUCGACUUUUUCUUCUACUGCUAAAGAGUGCCUCCUCUUCAUUUUUCAUUGAGACUGCAGCCAUCUGUUUGGCUAGAGCCUCCUGAUUAGCCAGUAAAUUUUCUAGCUCCACCAACGUUGGUUGAGUGGGCCAUCCUCGAACAGCAGUAAUGAACCCGUUAUAUUCGGGUUUUAGGCCAUGAAUAAUAAUUCUCUUCAUCCGCUGGUCACUAAUUUUUGACUCUGGAUCUAAUUGGAAAAUUUCACGGCAGAGAGAUUUUACCUUCAUGAAGUACUGGCUAAUUGUCAUGCUGCCCUGAGAUAUCGUCAUCAGCUCAUUUUCCAGCAGUUGAAGUCGAGCAUCAUUCUUCUUUGAAAAUAACGAUGCGAGGGUGUCCCAUGCAGCCUUGGGUGUAUCUGCUUCCUUGAUAUGCUCCAGCAGCUCUUCUUCGAUUGUCGUCUUCGGGACGAACAUCGCCUUCCCUGCCUUGAUACGCCACUUUCUGAACACCUCUGCAUUCUCCUUUUGUGGUGAAGUUGUUUCAGCACCACCAAUUACCUCCCACAAAUCCUGCCCUUGUAGGUAAGACUCAAUGCAGGUUUGCCAAUAACCAAAAUUAUGGUUAUUUAGCUUCUUAAUUCCGCUAGUUGUACCAACAAGAUCUGCCAUAGUGACUUGGUGAUUGUCCAGCAGUCAACCAAGUAAGUCUGGUCCUAGAUCAACCAACUUCACAGUCCCAGACUGUGCACCAGCAGAAUCUCUGCUUAUAUCGGUAUUUAACUGCCUGGACUGGCAGAAUUUCACCGACUUAACUAGCAGAAUAUUUCCUACAAUCUGGCUCUGAUACCAAAUUGUAGAAUAUUGGCGUACCAAACUAAUAAUAAAACUCUCUUUAUUACACACAAAAUAACUCUCAUUCACAUACAUCCAUAAGACUACAAACCUCACACACUCACUUCACUACUUCACUACACCUCACAAUACUUCCUCACCUCACACCACCACUCACACCCUUACUUCACUAUAUCUCACUCUUCACUUUCACACUCUUGCACUCUCUCACUCUUGCACUCUCUCCAAGCACACAUGGUGUGGGAGCCUCACAUCUAUUUAUAGGCUUCCAACCUACCUACAUAAGCACUCUAGAAUAUUCUAGAGUACUUACUUCUAGAACUCACUAAAGUGCUCUAUUAGCAAGUAGAGAGCACUUUGUUCCUAAAGUUUUCUAGAAUGCUCCAUUAGCUAGUAGAGAAUUGGAAAGGGAUAGGGCAUU
RNAcentral lists this long non-coding RNA (4074 nucleotides) under Ananas comosus (pineapple). Its description in RNAcentral is "long non-coding RNA (ACOM_LNC018273)". The record is from RNAcentral. Lineage: Eukaryota; Viridiplantae; Streptophyta; Magnoliopsida; Poales; Bromeliaceae.